UCCUUUUGGUUUUAUUUAAGGUCAGACCUGCCCAAUGAUUGAUUGAAUGGCCGCAGUAUACUAACUGUGCAAAGGUAGCAUAAUAAUUUGUCCUUUGAUUGAGGACUCGUAUGAAUGGUUAGAUGAGGAAUAUACUUUCUUUGUUUUAAUUUGAAGAACUUUAUCUUUCUGUCAAAAAGCAGAGAUGUACUUAUAAGACGACAAGACCCUAUAGAGCUUUAUUUUGAGUUUAGAUUUUAAUUCUUAGAUACAUAAAUAUUAUUUCUAAAUUGUGGAAUUUUAUUGGGGUGAUAGGUAUAUUUAUUUAACUAUAUUUGACUUUUCUCAUAGAUGAAUGAUUAAUAAGAUCCGCUUUUAGCGAUCAGAAGAUUAAGUUACCUUAGGGAUAACAGCGUAAUUCUAUUGGAGAGUUCUUAUUGAUAGUGGAGUUUGCGACCUCGAUGUUGGAUUAAAAUAAGUAUUUGGCGUAGAAGCCAUAUAACUAGGUCUGUUCGACCUUUGAUAUUUUACGUGAUCUGAGU
RNAcentral lists this ribosomal RNA (521 nucleotides) under Bucimex chilensis. Its description in RNAcentral is "partial 16S ribosomal RNA". It matches the Rfam family "Bacterial large subunit ribosomal RNA", at positions 1830 to 2610 of the family's 2925-position model. The record is from RNAcentral. Lineage: Eukaryota; Metazoa; Arthropoda; Insecta; Hemiptera; Cimicidae.